Molecule: ribosomal RNA, 462 nt
Filed under: uncultured bacterium
Lineage: Bacteria
Description: SSU rRNA
Rfam family: Bacterial small subunit ribosomal RNA
Source: RNAcentral
AGAAUCAACGCUGGCGGCGUGCCUAACACAUGCAAGUCGAACGAGAAAGUGGAGCAAUCCAUGAGUAAAGUGGCGACCGGGUGAGUAACACGUGACUAACCUACCUUCGAGUGGGGGAUAACCUCGGGAAACCGAGGCUAAUACCGCAUAAUAUCGAAAGAUCAAAGGAGUAAUCCGCUUUUGGAGGGGGUCGCGGCUGAUUAGCUAGUUGGUAGGGUAAUGGCCUACCAAGGCGAAGAUCGGUAUCCGGCCUGAGAGGGCGCACGGACACACUGGAACUGAAACACGGUCCAGACUCCUACGGGAGGCAGCAGUGGGGAAUUUUGCGCAAUGGGGGAAACCCUGACGCAGCAACGCCGCGUGGAGGAUGAAGCCCCUUGGGGUGUAAACUCCUUUCGAACCGGGAAAAUAAUGAUGGUACCGGUGGAAGAAGCACCGGCUAACUCUAGCGCCAGCAGCCGC